Molecule: non-coding RNA, 72 nt
Organism: Phrynosoma platyrhinos (Desert horned lizard)
Lineage: Eukaryota; Metazoa; Chordata; Lepidosauria; Squamata; Phrynosomatidae
Source: the annotation of a GenBank genome assembly
GCCAGUGUGGUGUAGUGGUUUGAAUGUUGGACUAUGAUUCAGGAGACCAGGGUUCAAUUCCUUGCUUGGGCU